GACGAACGCUGGCGGCGUGCCUAAUACAUGCAAGUAGAACGCUGAAGGAGGAGCUUGCUUCUCUGGAUGAGUUGCGAACGGGUGAGUAACGCGUAGGUAACCUGCCUGGUAGCGGGGGAUAACUAUUGGAAACGAUAGCUAAUACCGCAUAAUAGUAGAUGGUGCAUGACAUUUGCUUAAAAGGUGCAAUUGCAUCACUACCAGAUGGACCUGCGUUGUAUUAGCUAGUUGGUGAGGUAACGGCUCACCAAGGCGACGAUACAUAGCCGACCUGAGAGGGUGAUCGGCCACACUGGGACUGAGACACGGCCCAGACUCCUACGGGAGGCAGCAGUAGGGAAUCUUCGGCAAUGGACGGAAGUCUGACCGAGCAACGCCGCGUGAGUGAAGAAGGUUUUCGGAUCGUAAAGCUCUGUUGUAAGAGAAGAACGAGUGUGAGAGUGGAAAGUUCACACUGUGACGGUAUCUUACCAGAAAGGGACGGCUAACUACGUGCCAGCAGCCGCGGUAAUACGUAGGUCCCGAGCGUUGUCCGGAUUUAUUGGGCGUAAAGCGAGCGCAGGCGGUUAGAUAAGUCUGAAGUUAAAGGCUGUGGCUUAACCAUAGUACGCUUUGGAAACUGUUUAACUUGAGUGCAAGAGGGGAGAGUGGAAUUCCAUGUGUAGCGGUGAAAUGCGUAGAUAUAUGGAGGAACACCGGUGGCGAAAGCGGCUCUCUGGCUUGUAACUGACGCUGAGGCUCGAAAGCGUGGGGAGCAAACAGG
This 763-nucleotide ribosomal RNA is filed under the name uncultured Streptococcus sp. RNAcentral's name for it is "bacterial SSU rRNA". It matches the Rfam family "Bacterial small subunit ribosomal RNA", at positions 28 to 776 of the family's 1533-position model. Lineage: Bacteria; Bacillati; Bacillota; Bacilli; Lactobacillales; Streptococcaceae. The record is from RNAcentral.